UACGUAGGGGGCAAGCGUUGUCCGGACUUACUGGGCGUAAAGCGUGCGCAGGCGGUUGUGCAAGACAGAUGUGAAAUCCCCGGGCUUAACCUGGGAACUGCAUUUGUGACUGCACAGCUGGAGGGCGGCAGAGGGGGAUGGAAUUCCGCGUGUAGCAGUGAAAUGCGUAGAUAUGCGGAGGAACACCGAUGGCGAAGGCAAUCCCCUGGGCCUGCACUGACGCUCAUGCACGAAAGCGUGGGGAGCAAACAGG
RNAcentral lists this ribosomal RNA (253 nucleotides) under uncultured bacterium. RNAcentral's name for it is "partial 16S ribosomal RNA". It matches the Rfam family "Bacterial small subunit ribosomal RNA", at positions 524 to 776 of the family's 1533-position model. The record is from RNAcentral.